GUGUCAGCAGCCGCGGUAAUACGGAGGAUGCAAGCGUUAUCCGGAUUCAUUAGGUAUAAAGGGUGCGUAGGCGGAUUUGUAAGUCAGUGGUGAAAUACUAUAGCUUAACUAUAGAACUGCCAUUGAUACUGCAAGUCUUGAGUACAAUUGAGGUAGGCGGAAUGUGUGGUGUAGCGGUGAAAUGCUUAGAUAUCACACAGAACACCGAUUGCGAAGGCAGCUUACUAAACUGUAACUGACGCUGAUGCACGAAAGCAUGGGGAGCAAACAGGAUUAGAUACCCGCGUAGUCC
RNAcentral lists this ribosomal RNA (292 nucleotides) under uncultured bacterium. Its description in RNAcentral is "partial 16S ribosomal RNA". It matches the Rfam family "Bacterial small subunit ribosomal RNA", at positions 505 to 796 of the family's 1533-position model. The record is from RNAcentral.